Non-coding RNA from Cyanistes caeruleus (blue tit), 345 nucleotides. Lineage: Eukaryota; Metazoa; Chordata; Aves; Passeriformes; Paridae. The record is from RefSeq and is a predicted model, not a curated record.
GGGAAAAAAUGGGAAAAAUCGGGGAAAAGUUGGGAAUUCAUUCCAGGUUAUUUUUGAGGAGAUUUUCCCAAAUUUCCCCCCCUUGAGCACCCAUAGGGAGCAACGAGGGAAGGAGAAACGGAGCCAAAAACGCCAAAAAAAGAGCAAAAAAAAUCAGGAAAAAAUUGGGAAAAAUCGGGAAAAAUGGGGAAAAAAUGGGAAAAAUCGGGGAAAAGUUGGGAAUUCAUUCCAGGUUAUUUUUGAGGGGAUUUUCCCAAAUUUCACCCCCUUGAGCACCCAUAGGGAGCAACGAGGGGAAGGAAAAACGGAGCCAAAAAUGCCAAAAAAAAGCGCAAAAAAUCGGGA